UCCAAAAGGAAGAGAAAUUGAAGAUUAUUCUUUUUUUCCUUGUUUUCUCUUCCGGGUCCUGUGCUACAGGGGUUUGGAACUUUUAGGAAGCAUUCACUAGUAAAACAGUAGAAUUCUUGUUGGACUGGUGCCCUGGGAUCGGGAACGGACGUGAGAGCGAGUUUGGGCCGUGGAUCUCGAUCCGGCGGUGGGGAGCCCAUUAGUUCUCCCCCCUUAACCCUAGCCGCCCCCUCCCCUAUUCCCCUUUGGUUGCAGCCGCCCCCCCUCCCUAUUCCCCUUUGUGGCCGCCACCCCCCUCUCUCUCCCUCUCCUUCUUCCCCAAGUGAUUGCAGCACCACCCCUCAACCCUAGCCCCCCCCUCCUCCUCUCCAUGGUGCAUCCUCCCCGCUUGGUACCCCGUCGUGUGGGUGCGAGUCUUCCAUUGGAGUUUGGAGGGAGGAAGAAGGAAGAAUGGAAGGAGGAAAGGAGGAACCCAAGGUGGUGGACUUCCGGAUCGUACUUAGGGAUUUGCCCGAACUUCCGGUAAAGGCAAGUAAAUAUAGUGGUGGUUGCUACCGUUUGGUUUGCAUCCUAUUCCCUGUCAUUGAGUAUGCAUAAGUUUUUAAUUAUGUUAAUCAUUGAAUUCUAUGAUGAAGUUUAUUUGUUUGGAAGUAUUAAUUCUCAAUUGUCUAAUAUUGUGGAUGAUCAUAAUUUGGUUAUGAUAUAUGUGGUUGAUUCCCAUCUUGGAUGAAGUUGAAGUAUCUUUUUGAAUCACGUUAUAUGAAGUGUUGUAGGCAUGACAUGCACAUCGCAUCAUCCAUCUUGCAUUUUGAAGUUAUGUCGUGAUCUUAUGGUCCGACCGUACCGGUACAUUUUUAGCAUCGUACGUUGCCCGAGGAGGGGUACGAUGCGGCUUCAUAUCCUUAGAGGUAUGAAGGCAGAAGUCAUCCUUGCAUUUGCAGACAUUUGCAUUCAUGAGGAAUAUAUGAAGUGUGACAUUACUAUGUUACUAUUGUGGUUUCUACCUACGAGGUGUGGUAACUAGGUGUGUUGUACGUUGUAUACGUGCUGCAUCUUGGUAAUAAGAAGGUUGUGGAAUCAGGUGGUGGUAAAACAAUGUUCUUAUGUGGUUGAAUAGUUUGAUAUUAUUUUACUUGCUGAGAUGUGUCAUCUCACUCUUGCAUUACUCAAUGCAGGUACUUGAUACAUGUUGGGAAUGAGGGGAGUAGCAGCACGUCCACUUACACUCUCACAAUAACGCUGCCCAGGCGCAGCCAUGAUUUAAUUAGAAACUUAUUGUCAAAGGAAGUUUGUUUUUUUUAUAUAGUCGUGCGCACUGGUUAAUUCAGUUCAGGUCGUACGUUUAUCUUCCCUUGCUAGCCGAUUAAUAAUACUUAGUAUGUUUUUGUCAUGAUAUAUGUUUAUACCCUGUUGCCCCCUUAUUUAUGCAAUCUUGCAAAGGGGAUGCUGCCGAAAUUUUAUAUAUGGACGUCAGAAGUGUAGUUCAGUAGCAUUCUGGGUUGUUUGUGGAACCCGGGGUGUUACAGUUGGUAUCAGAGGAUAGGCUUUAGAUUCUACGCAAUUUGAAGAUAAAUUUGACACACUUGCACAUAUAGGAAGGGUAUGGGUUCAUAUAUCUUUUAUAUUAGUUUUUUAUUGUAUAGAUGACUAGAAUUUCCUUACUCCAAAUCCCUUUAUGGUUUGAUGGGGUAUGUCGUUAACGACGUAAUGCUUGAUAUGAUAUGUUACUUCUAUUUAAUAUUGGUUUCUUGAUGUGGUUGUUAUUGAAAUUAUUAUGCAAGUGAAGCUACUAAUGUACUUGUUUUAUAUACAUAUCGUCAUAAUGUUGUUUUUGGAUGCAAUGUUUACUAAUCUCUGAGCUAUUACUAUCAUACAUUUCUGUAUGCUUGACUGUGGAUGUUUUAUUUUCCAAAAGGAUUCUUGGGUUCUAGUACUUAUAGGACCGAUUGUUUAUUGAGCUUGUGUAUAAAGGAUCUAUUCCGACUUGGUGUAGUGUGAAAACACUAUACAAUGUAGUUUUUUGGUGUUGUUGAGUUUGAUUGACUGUUGGGUUACAACCCAACUUAUCAAUGUAAUAUUUCCAUGGGUGCAGUGCUUUACACCUCACCUUUUUUUGGCUAGUGUGGCUACUUGCCAACUUGAUCUUAGAGUACAAUAGGUUUGUCUCCAUAGAGCAAAGGCAAUGUUGUACUGUCUAUGAAAUCUUGAGACUGGUAGAACUCAAGUGAAUUUGUAAGAUGACGUGGAUAGAUAAGUUCAACCAUGUUUACAUGAUAGGUUUUCUUAUUGUGUGCAACCUUAUCUUUAAUAAUAAAUAGGGUGAUUUCAAGUGGAUUUUAUGUCUAUAUUAUAGUUGAAGAGGCAUGCAUGUUUUCCUUCUAUGGUUUGUUUCUAUAGCCAAAAAGGUUAUGCAUAAUUUUUAUUUGUUGGAGGCUAGUCAUGUGGACGAUAUGGACAACCCGUUUUAUAUUGUUUUUAAUCGCCGAUGAUAUAUGGUAGUUUUUUUAUAUGAUUAGUUCUCUAUGCAUGCUUGUUAAAUUAUCAUUUGGACCGCUUUAUCUUAAACAAAGUCAAUGUUUAACUGGAAGUUGCUUAUGUUUGUUAGUCCUCUAUCUCUAUAAUGAUGUGGUUGUUGCAUCAGAUGGAGAUUUUUUUAUAUGAAUGAUGGUUUGAUAGAUCAUGUAUGUCUUCUACUUUGAAGUCAUCCUAUGACAUCACGAGGUACAAAUUGUUCAAGUGCAAUAAUAGGAGGUAUUGUUGUAUGUGAGGUUAAUCAAGGUAGUUUGGUUAGGUGGAUUGUCUUAUUGAAGUCCAAUUACCCCUGUUGAGCAUAGUAUCGUGAUAUUAUUUUAGUGUUGAAAGUAAUAUUUAUGAUGCUUAUGCAUGAGUCUGUGUCAAGAAGUACAUUAGUUUUUCUUGUUGUUAUCCCUCCAUUGCUUUAUGAGUAUUGCAAAUUUUAUCUCUUUUGAGAGGAGAAAAAGAUGUUAUAUGACAUGAGCACCAUUUGCUUCACGUCAACAUAAUAGUUUUGGAAAUUUCUAGUAGUUGGAUUCUAGUGUAAUAACAACCAUGUUUUAUAGUGCUGGAGACGGGUAUGUCAGGUGUUUCAUACAUUGUCGAUACAGGGAUGUUUGACCUUAGUGGCAUUAACAAACGAGGUUGUUGAAUUCAUUGAUUGUUGUGCUUAGUGUUCUAACCUAUUUGGUAGAGCGUUAUUUAAAGACUUUGUGGAGUUACAUCCCAGUGUGGUAGUGGAAAAUCCUAGUGUUGAUUGCACCUGCCAAUGACUUGGGUUUCAUUUUAUAUUGUUUUUUUAUUGUUGAUAAUGUGUUGUUUGGUUUUGGGAGGCAUUUUAAAUUAGUUGGAGGCUGAAUCAGGCUUCACUUAUCUAGAAUGUUUUGUAGUAUGUUCCUUCAUCUUUCCAUAGGAUGUUUAAUCACCAUGUUUGGUCUAAACAUUUGGGAGAUAGGGGUUUCUUAAAACAUCCUUGUUGGUGUCUCUAGCAGAGUGAGUCUUUAAUUUUGUACGGAAGUGUAGACAUUGAAGACGGUAUAAUUUGGUCUUUGUGGAUUAUGAAAGUUUUAGUAAUUUCAUGAUCUUUUCAAAGAGUAUUGGUUUCUAAUUCUCAUUGCAUAUAAUUGGAGUUAGGUUGCUCUGAAGUUGUUGCACUGUUGUGUCUGAACUUUAGGCAUCGUUAUAAUCACCAAUAAAUCGACCGCAUUUUGAUAGUUGCAGAGCCCAAAUUUGCGAAUUCUCUUGAAGCAAAACUUGUAGGUCUUUUCAGUACCUUUUUAAUGGGUAUUUACUUGUAACUGUCUGUUAAAUAGAUUUGGAGAGGUGGUUGCCCGGAUAUAAGUCGAAUCUCUAAUGUGCAGUAUCUCAGGCUGAGUUUAGCUGUAGGUCAUGCAGAGUUGAGGGCUAUAAGGAUAAAUUUGGGUGCAACUUUAUUGCAAAAGUCGUGGACAAUUUUCAAAACUUUUCCAACGCGUGUUCGUUGUAGUUUAAGUUGUGUAUAGCAGGAGUUAUAAGUUUUUGAAUAUUAGUUGUCCAUUGUUUCAAUCCUAUCGGUUUUGCAACAAAAGAGUUGCUUUGUUUUAUCAGUUUGGAAACCAAUUCCAAGACACUCAUUAUAAUAAGAGUUCUAGGGAAUGUUAUAAUCUUUUCAAUGAGUUUAUAUUUGCAAAAUUUUGUUAGCUGCAGGGAGUUAUGAUAUAAUGUAUAGAAUGUGCUUGGAUGAAUAUGUGGGCAGACAUAACAUGUUUAAAUUGAUUCUUGUUUGCAUGAUGUGAGAUUAGGCCUAAAUGGUUUAAAAAGUUAUCAUAUUGCUUCUAUACUUAUAUUUGUUCUAGGUGUCUCGUAAUGAAGAACCUAAAGUUAUUAGUCUUUCAAUGACCACUUAAUCUUAGAAGAGUAAUGAACCUGAUAAAAUCUAUUGCUUGUUGCUGGGAUUGCAUGACCAGUUUUAGUUAUGCAGCUAGUUCAAUGAAGUAAACCAUCUUUUCUGUAGAGAUGUUAUAUAUAAAAGUUGUAGCCAACUUCUUUAUCUUACUUGUGUAAAAAUUUCAUGACCAUAGGUCUAGAAGUUUGGGAGUUAUGAUUUUCUCAAGUCCAGUCUUGAAAUCUGUGCAGAUUCUGUACAGAUUUCGAAGCUGACCUUGUUUGCCCAAUUUAAACUUCGAAUAACUUAUUAUAAAUUAUAAAGAAGUUGUAGUACUCUUCUUAAUCUUUUCAACAAAUUUUGGAUUACCUUUUUUGGAGAUCUAUAAGUUAAGUUACAGCUGUUUUAAGUGUGAUCUCUGAAUCUGUCCAAAUUUGGACAGCAGAGCCUUUCUCGUGUCUUUUGACCUUGAUAUGCAUUGAAUUAACUUGAUAUGUUUACAAAUGAAUUAUAGACAAUUCUACUAGCUUUCUAAAAAGUCUGGGAGCACCUGAAUUGGAUGAUUGAGACUCCAAUUAUGGAUUUCUGAAUUGAGUAGUUGAAUUAUGUCCAAGUCUGGACAGAAUUUACGUUUAGCAUUGUUUGACCUUUCUAAGUGUCAAAUCUUGUUGUGAUGAUAAUACCAAGGGUAUAGUGGACUUUAUAAGCUUUCCAUAAAGUCCUAGUUUACUAAUUUUCGAUGCAUAUUCUGUGAGUUAGGAGCAAAAUAAUUAACCGUUGUGUUGUUGUCUAGAAAUAUGCAAGCAUUAAGUUGCUCUCUUGAAGUUGCUCUUGUUUAGCUAAGUUUUGUUUAGGCUAUAGGAACACUAUAUGAAUUGCAUUAAUAUAUACAUUCAUUGAAGUACUUGCAUGUGUCAAUAUUGAUUUGGUGUCUAGAAAGCUUUGUCCGAGGUAUAAAGGACCGUCUACUAUCUUAGCCGAGGUGGCAGCUGGGCUUAUCACUUGCAAUUGUCGGAAUCUAUGAUCAGAGUACACCAUGUAUUCCAUGUAUUUAUGUUGAGGAAGUAUUUGUGGAAUCCAGACCAUCUAAUCGAGCUAGAGCCGAUUCCCGUGUAGCAAGACCAGACUCUUGAGUGACGUCUGCUGCGUAUCUUAGAAUCCUAGGAACUUGAGGAGCUGAUGCGGCAGAAGUACCCAAACUUUUUCGUUAUGUGUGAGUUUUGUUGAUUCAUUAAUCUUUUUUUUGUCAUUCCGAUAGAAGCGUCGGAAUUCGAGGUCGAAUUCUUUUUAAGGAGGGUAGAGUGUGAUACCCAAUUUCCAAAAGGAAGAGAAAUUGAAGAUUAUUCUUUUUUUCCUUGUUUUCUCUUCCGGGUCCUGUGCUACAGGGGUUUGGAACUUUUAGGAAGCAUUCACUAGUAAAACAGUAGAAUUCUUGUUGGACUGGUGCCCUGGGAUCGGGAACGGACGUGAGAGCGAGUUUGGGCCGUGGAUCUCGAUCCGGCGGUGGGGAGCCCAUUAGUUCUCCCCCCUUAACCCUAGCCGCCCCCUCCCCUAUUCCCCUUUGGUUGCAGCCGCCCCCCCUCCCUAUUCCCCUUUGUGGCCGCCACCCCCCUCUCUCUCCCUCUCCUUCUUCCCCAAGUGAUUGCAGCACCACCCCUCAACCCUAGCCCCCCCCUCCUCUCCAUGGUGCAUCCUCCCCGCUUGGUACCCCGUCGUGUGGGUGCGAGUCUUCCAUUGGAGUUUGGAGGGAGGAAGAAGGAAGAAUGGAAGGAGGAAAGGAGGAACCCAAGGUGGUGGACUUCCGGAUCGUACUUAGGGAUUUGCCCGAACUUCCGGUAAAGGCAAGUAAAUAUAGUGGUGGUUGCUACCGUUUGGUUUGCAUCCUAUUCCCUGUCAUUGAGUAUGCAUAAGUUUUUAAUUAUGUUAAUCAUUGAAUUCUAUGAUGAAGUUUAUUUGUUUGGAAGUAUUAAUUCUCAAUUGUCUAAUAUUGUGGAUGAUCAUAAUUUGGUUAUGAUAUAUGUGGUUGAUUCCAUCUUGGAUGAAGUUGAAGUAUCUUUUUGAAUCACGUUAUAUGAAGUGUUGUAGGCAUGACAUGCACAUCGCAUCAUCCAUCUUGCAUUUUGAAGUUAUGUCGUGAUCUUAUGGUCCGACCGUACCGGUACAUUUUUAGCAUCGUACGUUGCCCGAGGAGGGGUACGAUGCGGCUUCAUAUCCUUAGAGGUAUGAAGGCAGAAGUCAUCCUUGCAUUUGCAGACAUUUGCAUUCAUGAGGAAUAUAUGAAGUGUGACAUUACUAUGUUACUAUUGUGGUUUCUACCUGCGAGGUGUGGUAACUAGGUAUGUUGUACGUUGUAUACGUGCUGCAUCUUGGUAAUAAGAAGGUUGUGGAAUCAGGUGGUGGUAAAACAAUGUUCUUAUGUGGUUGAAUAGUUUGAUAUUAUUUUACUUGCUGAGAUGUGUCAUCUCACUCUUGCAUUACUCAAUGCAGGUACUUGAUACAUGUUGGGAAUAAGGGGAGUAGCAGCACGUCCACUUACACUCUCACAAUAACGCUGCCCAGGCGCAGCCAUGAUUUAAUUAGAAACUUAUUGUCAAAGGAAGUUUGUUUUUUUAUAUAGUCGUGCGCACUGGUUAAUUCAGUUGAGGUCGUACGUUUAUCUUCCCUUGCUAGCCGAUUAAUAAUACUUAGUAUGUUUUUGUC
Molecule: long non-coding RNA, 7078 nt
Organism: Zea mays
Lineage: Eukaryota; Viridiplantae; Streptophyta; Magnoliopsida; Poales; Poaceae
Exons: 3
Source: RefSeq, a predicted model, not a curated record